AAGACAUUGGUUUCUUUUCCUCCUCCAUCCUUUGCCGAAGCCAAUUCUCAAGCAGCAGGAAAAUCAACCGAACCUCCAUCCCACGCAUCCCCGCCCUUCACCGAUCUUCCUCAGGGUGCAAACUUACAGAUUUGGCUUGGAGUUUUGACAUUGAGAUAGUUGAUAAUGAAAUGCUUGGAAAUUUGACAGUGAGGUGAAUUGUUCAUGAAAUGCUUGCAACUGUUGGUACUUGAUGAUGUUUUGUAGGCUACUUGUCCAAAGGCUGUUGAAUGGGUUCACUGAGCUCAAUUUCUAUGCAAGCCUCAUGUCUAUGUUUGGUCCAUGUAUACGUACAUCCUAGUUUUUGUAACCAGUAUCAAAAUUGAAGAAUAAGCCCCUUCUUUAUCAAGUUAAGAUUGUAAAAGAAUGAAGAUUAGUGAUGCUAAAAUUUUGCCUAUUGAAGAGUCUCUCCCUUUUAUUUUAAUUUGCAAUCUAAGGAGAAUCAUCAUCUGCAAACACCUGCAUUCACAUUGUGCCUGUCAAUAGGAAGAUGAAGUUGCAUGUAAUCUCAAUGUAAUAAUGUUCGCAUCACACAUCCUCCGAAGAGCUGAUGCCUUUUAGCAAUGUAAAGCGAGAGAUAUCUUGUAUUAUUUGCAUCGGAAACAAUGAGAAUUGCAAACUCAAGAAUUUACAGAGUUCA
Molecule: long non-coding RNA, 679 nt
Organism: Asparagus officinalis (garden asparagus)
Lineage: Eukaryota; Viridiplantae; Streptophyta; Magnoliopsida; Asparagales; Asparagaceae
Exons: 2
Source: RefSeq, a predicted model, not a curated record